AUACGGAGGGGGUUAGCGUUGUUCGGAAUUACUGGGCGUAAAGCGUACGUAGGCGGACUGGAAAGUUGGGGGUGAAAUCCCGGGGCUCAACCCCGGAACUGCCUCCAAAACUUCCAAUCUAGAGAUCGAGAGAGGUGAGUGGAAUUCCAAGUGUAGAGGUGAAAUUCGUAGAUAUUUGGAGGAACACCAGUGGCGAAGGCGGCUCACUGGCUCGAUACUGACGCUGAGGUACGAAAGCGUGGGGAGCAAACAGGAUUAGAAACCCCGGUAGUCC
RNAcentral lists this ribosomal RNA (274 nucleotides) under uncultured bacterium. RNAcentral describes it as "partial 16S ribosomal RNA". It matches the Rfam family "Bacterial small subunit ribosomal RNA", at positions 523 to 796 of the family's 1533-position model. The record is from RNAcentral.